Long non-coding RNA from Cephus cinctus (wheat stem sawfly), 3130 nucleotides. RefSeq lists it as uncharacterized. NCBI's taxonomy places the organism in Eukaryota, Metazoa, Arthropoda, Insecta, Hymenoptera, Cephidae. The transcript has 7 exons. The record is from RefSeq and is a predicted model, not a curated record.
GAAAAAAGGAGGAUUACGUAAAAACCAAUUUCUCAUUUGUUUCUCUUUGACUUUGUUGCCUCAACCUUAGUAAAUGUUUUGUCGGGGCACAGGAAAAAUUUAUAAACAAGUGAUUUUCCCCAUAAAGGAUCUAAGCGCGAAACAGCAGGUGGCCAUCGUAUAUAGGAUGGAACCUUCGUUCCGGUAUUCAUGGGACUCUGGCUUUUUGCGAUUAACGAAAAAGAGUUUCUAGGAGUCUGUGAUUUUAAGCACAAAGAAUACGUCCGACUACCCGACGGUCCAAUCCAAUUUUGCCUUUUAACCACCUCAGAAGAGACGCCGAAGAACCGGGUGACACUUCGUCAAGAAGCCAGCGGCCUUUUAAGAUGCGAUUAAACGUGUCUUUUUCUAGAAACCGACCUUAAGGAUACCUGCGGGACGUUCCAACAACCUGCCCGGAGGACCUUGCAAGGAAAACGGACCCUUUUUACUAUAAUGUAAGAAGAAGUAAAGUGGACCCCAUGAAAUCAAAAGACACAGAAGAUAGAAAAGGCCAAUUCGGCGUGGAACAGGUAAACGGAAGGCAGGACGCGAGGGUUUCCGGUUCAUUCAGUGUUUCUUUGUGUUGGUGGAUACUUUGAAAAAGUCAAAAAGCUACGGAAGAGGGCGGUGCCACGAGGUCUCUUCUUCAAGGGUGGACCGAAAGUUCCAUGGGAUUUAUCAUCGGAAUAAAUUCCGCCGUGAAAUAGGUUAGCUUUAGCCGCAGUAAAGAACAGUUGCGCAGUGGGCUACUGCGCAUCUUGAAUCAUAUGCUACGCCGCUACCUGAGUCGACCAGUCUAAUUCUGUUAGAAUCAAGUUUAAGGAAGAAGGAAUGGAAGAAAAAGGAAGAGCAACUUCAGCCUCGGCAAUCGAGGAACAUUUGCCUUGCUCCCACGACUGUUUGGCGAUAGCUGUGCCAACUUGUUUCGAGCACGCAAUCCAAUUUGUCUACGUCUCGUUGCUUUACUGCUUCGUCGUCUCCCGCCACUUGGUACUUCGUCAUACAAGGUACACAAGGCACUGUAUGGGAGCUCGAUUGAUUUUUACUGGCGCACUUGUACUUAAAGUACUGUACAUAACCUAACCUACGAAGGACGGUCUAGUCGGCGACGUUCAGGUGCGGCAAAACGUGCUACGCUCAAUGGAUGCUCACCCAUUUAGUGUACCUGCAAAUAAAAUAAUCCAAAGUAUACUUUGGCAACUCUAUUCAAGCGAUUUACCUGUCUGUGUGGUCUCUGGAAGAAGGGAUCCAUUUUCAGCAUCCCCAUGAAUUUGACAUGAAAUCAUUUGUCAAAAAAAAAAAAUGCCACACGAAAUUCAAAUUGACCAUGGGAAAGAACCUGACAGGAAUAAUUUUGAGAAUCCGUACAUCCAAUCGACCCGAAUAUCGUGACUCUUCGUUGACUAUUAAUUUCUCUCUAUUAUCUAUCAAGAAACGAUACGUAAUCAGUACCAAUCAAUUGAUAUAAUUGGAUAACAAGAUAUCUAUAAUAUAUCCAAUGCCCUGUGUGUAGCGACGCAUUGGCGUAACUCAGGACUUCUUUAGUAACAAGAUACACACGCUAUACCUCGUUCUUGUAAAAGGGCGCGAGUUUCUCCAAGUUACAAGAGAUGGAGAAAAAAAAUACUAUUGAGUUUUACGUUCAUUCAUGAAGUCUUUGACAAAGGCCCAGCGGGCCCAAGACACAUGAAUGAACGUAGUAAGGUCUCGUAGUAGAAAACCCGACGGGGCACCUCAAGGGCCCUCACUGAGUGAAUAAGGCCCCUAAGAAAUCACGGGGUCAAACGUGACCCAAACUUUGCACGGCUAGUUAAGUCGCAUACUUUAAGAAACAUUUAAGAAGUUAUUUCAAGAAUCAUGGUUACACUAAUAUAUAUGUAUAUAUAUAUAUUAUCCCAAGGUAUCCUUUAAUUUUUUCUUCUCUUAAUAAUUUUUUUACCCUUAAUACAUCAACUUAACUACACUGUCCUGAUUAUGGCAAUGAUUUUUUAUAAUUGGGCUAAAAAACUGAAAACGAUAUUAAGAAAUCUGAUUGUUCUGGUAAGAGUAAGCGGGUGAUUAGGUUUGGAUUAUUCUGAAAUUUAUCGUGGAAACCAACAGGUGCUUGCAGCUGGGCCUUUUCCGCUGUGAGGUGUAACAAGGCGUACCACUCUACGCCGAGGAUUCACCCUCAACAUGCGUGACGGUUCUUAAACGUUUACUUCCGGUUAGCCUGGUAUCAUCCAAAUCGAAUGCGUUAACCUUACCUGUAAUCAUCCUCAUUGCUAACAUAAUCUGGAGGAAUCAGAUGCCAGGAAGCAUCAUAACAUUCAUCGUAUCCAGUAGCCAUUUUUUCCCUGUCGGAUAUCGAGUCUACGUCGUACUGUGGUAUUCCGAAAAUUCGUUGAGUUCUUCAAUCACCAGGAAUUGUCAGUUUCACGUAAAACGAUAUUACAGUCGGAAACGACUGAUCUUUGGGGAAAAGUCCAUCAGAAUGUCGUUUUCUGUUUGGUGUCCCUUUUCGAAAAUGAAAAUUUUCUUGGCCGUCGGAUCGUCGAUGUUCCGAUUGUCGGUAGUCCACCACGUUUUUCUUAUUUCUUUUAAUUCGCUUUCACUCUUUGUAUUACACGAGCUUUUAUAUAAUUUAUAAUAAUUGAUUUUAUCAGACUUUUCAUUAAUACAAAGAAAUUAGCCGAUUCGUUUACAAAUUGUCGUGAUACCUUAUUCUUUACGACCGUGGUACGAUAGCGUGGAAUAUUUAGACUGGAUUUAGUUUUGAGAUAGGAAUAAAAGCACACGGUCAACUAAUCAUGAUCUAGCGAUCUCUGACUGGUAUAACUUAGUGCAACAAAUAGCUUAGCUAGUCCUAAGAAAAGUAUCUGUACGAGGUUAACGGUUGUGCUCGUAUUACCACACUGGAAAGUAUAGCUAAUACAUUGAUCACCUAUAUAUUGCAUCGAAAAUAUGGCUACCAGAUAGGAGCGCUGGCAACGUUAUCUGUUUGAUAACACCCUAUAUAGAUUAGUGUCACUACUGCAAGAUGUAACAGCAUACGGAACCCCAAAUAUCGAAUGUUAUAAACUCGACAAAGACAGUCAAUGGACCGUAAUAAAAUUUAGCAAAGAUUGCA